GCUAUUUUAGGAUUCUCUGCCCUGCAAACGUUUCCAAAGUGCGUGGACAGGCCGCCUGAUGACACUACGUUUACGGGAUCUGCUAGUGGCUUGCCUACUUAGGGAGUAAACCCUGUGAAGUCUCGCAGUUUUAUUAAAGUGUGCGUGGCCACCUGAAUGCUGCCUUAUCACAAGCCAGAUACAUACUGGUCUGCAGGGUAACUCCCCACUGUUGAUCCUCUGAGAUGAUUGUGGACUGGGUGCUGUGAGUCCUGCCACUUUGUUUAAGUGAAUGUGUCUUUUGUCCAGCUCAGCCGCCUCGGAUCUCGCUGCCACCAGCCUUACUGCACACCCGUGCCACCCGCCCUUGCCCCGUCAGCCUCAGCCUCAGCUCAUUCUCUCAGGCAGUCCCAGCAUUGGCACGGUACCUCCUCCCGCUGUGGGCCACACGUCUCUGCUCCCUGUCAACCCUACUGCCAUCAGCACCACCACCAGCGACUUGUCUGCCCAGGAGGAUGCAACACCAUCUGCCUCCACCGGCCACCUUUCAGUGUUUCCUGCUUUCCAAGUAAAGAUACCAGCAGUGCCCGCAGAGCAGACCAGCCAGAGAUUUUCUGAAGCCUCCCACAGGGUGCUCCCCGGAGGAGGCCCGAGAUGCUCUCGUGACUUUGGAGCCGGGGUGGCUGGCCACCUUGGCCUGGGCAUCUUUGGGAUGGGCUUCGGGAGCCCGGCACUGCUGCAGAGUGUGGUGGAUGAGAACAGCUGCUGCUUGCUGUACGUGGUGGAGGACCAGCUGUGUGAUGUGGAGCGAGCCUUCAGAGCUGAGCAUUUGGGCCAACACCAGAGUGGUUCGGGAACAGGAUGCAGACAUUGUCCUCAACGACCAGCGGCACUUUGAUCCGGUUUUCCAGUUCUUGCACAAGCAAGUUUUUGUCAGCCACGCCCUGGGGAGGAUCCACUGGAUCACCGCCGUCACAGCCUGUUCCCGGUGGCCUCUCCGGCUUCCCUAAAGAGAGCAGUAGCUUCCCUGGAGACCAGAAGCCAGAGCUCACCCUCCCUUGUGUCCAGGUGGGACUUUCUACAACGCUGCUAUGCACGACGCGGAUGCCGUAUGCAUGUUGCUGGGGGAAGCCACUCCGGACACUGUGUUUUCUCUGGGACAUGUCUUCUGCCCAGAUGAAAACUCAGCCUGUAAUCAGUCUGAUUGGUGUGAACAGCGACCAUUCAGAGGCUGGAGUGAGUGAAGUUACAAAGUUGCAAACGAAGACUUGACCCACAAUCAGUCUGAUUUGUUGCCGACAGCCAGUUUCCCAUCUGC
RNAcentral lists this long non-coding RNA (1297 nucleotides) under Pan troglodytes (chimpanzee). Its description in RNAcentral is "long non-coding RNA NONPTRT000825". The record is from RNAcentral. Lineage: Eukaryota; Metazoa; Chordata; Mammalia; Primates; Hominidae.